Molecule: long non-coding RNA, 1162 nt
Organism: Lates calcarifer (barramundi perch)
Lineage: Eukaryota; Metazoa; Chordata; Actinopteri; Centropomidae
Exons: 3
Source: RefSeq, a predicted model, not a curated record
CACAGCUCAGAGCUUCAGUUUCCUCAAAGAGGAGGUUGGAAAUCAUCAGUAUAACCUCUGAUACACAGAGAAUAUCUUUCACAGCAACAGUAAAAUUAUUACCAAACAAAAUAACCAAACACAGAAGACAACAUGAACCUCUUAUUACUAAGCAUCGCACUCAACACUGUGCUGGUUUCAGGUUCCUCUCUCAGAGUCAAGCAGACUCCAGCUGACAUUUACAAGAAACCAAAAGAAGAAGCUAGAAUCAACUGUUCACACAGCAUUGACGACUACUACACAAUCCUCUGGUACAAACAAUUAAAAGACAGACAACUACAGCUCCUGGGAUACAUGAAUUAUGAGAAAGAUAAUCCUGAAGCUGGAGCUGGAGUGAAAUUAGAAGGGGGAGCAAGUAAAGGCCAGACCUGCACUUUAAUAAUUGAAGAACUCACCUGGAACAACAGUGCAGUGUACUUCUGUGCUGCUAGUUACCACAGUGCUACAUAUCACUGCUCCUCAGUACAAAAACCUCACCAUCACAUGACUUCAUCUCAGUAUUACAGCUCACAGCUUCUUGCACCUGUAUUCCUUCCUUUCACAAGGUGGCGGUAUAUCUUCAAUCACAGCUUUAUACUGAGAUAGUGAUGUGUAGUGAGGGUGUGAAUGGUUGGACAAGUUGAGGAUGAACUAUGACACCACCCACCUACACAGCUCAGAGCUUCAGUUUCCUCAAAGAGGAGGUUGGAAAUCAUCAGUAUAACCUCUGAUACACAGAGAAUAUCUUUCACAGCAACAGUAAAAUUAUUACCAAACAAAAUAACCAAACACAGAAGACAACAUGAACCUCUUAUUACUAAGCAUCGCACUCAACACUGUGCUGGUUUCAGGUUCCUCUCUCAGUGACAAAGUCGAGCAGACUCCAGCUGACAUUUACAAGAAACCAAAAGAAGAAGCAAUAAUCAGCUGUUCACACAGCAUUGACAACUAUUAUAGAAUCCUCUGGUACAAGCAAUUAAAGGACAAUCAGAUGCAGCUCCUGGGAUAUAUGGAUAAUAGCAGAGCUAAUCUUGAAGCUGGAGUAAAUGUGAAAAUAGAAGGGGAUGCAAACAAAGACAAGAACUGCACUUUAAUAAUUGAAAAUCUCACCUGGAACAACAGUGCAGUGUACUUCUGUGCUGCU